This 253-nucleotide ribosomal RNA is filed under the name uncultured bacterium. Its description in RNAcentral is "partial 16S ribosomal RNA". It matches the Rfam family "Bacterial small subunit ribosomal RNA", at positions 524 to 776 of the family's 1533-position model. The record is from RNAcentral.
UACGUAGGGCGCAAGCGUUGUCCGGAAUUAUUGGGCGUAAAGAGCUCGUAGGCGGUCUGUCACGUCGGAUGUGAAAACUCGGGGCUCAACCCCGAGCCUGCAUUCGAUACGGGCAGACUAGAGUUCGGUAGGGGAGACUGGAAUUCCUGGUGUAGCGGUGAAAUGCGUAGAUAUCUGGAGGAAUACCGGUGGCGAAGGCGGCAUCCUGGACCGACAUUGACGCUGAAAAGCGAAAGCUAGGGGAGCAAACGGG